ACGUAGGUGGCUAGCGUUAUCCGGAUUUACUGGGCGUAAAGGGUGCGUAGGCGGUCUUUCAAGUCAGGACUUAAAGGCUACGGCUCAACCGUAGUAAGCUCCUGAUACUGUCUGACUUGAGUGCAGGAGAGGAAAGCGGAAUUCCCAGUGUAGCGGUGAAAUGCGUAGAUAUUGGGAGGAACACCAGUAGCGAAGGCGGCUUUCUGGACUGUAACUGACGCUGAGGCUCGAAAGCUAGGGUAGCGAACGGGAUUAGAUACCCCGGUAGUCCUAGCCGUAAACGAUGGAUACUAGGUGUGGGAGGUAUCGACCCCUUCCGUGCCGGAGUUAACGCAAUAAGUAUCCCGCCUGGGGAGUACGACCGCAAGGUUG
Molecule: ribosomal RNA, 372 nt
Filed under: uncultured bacterium
Lineage: Bacteria
Description: bacterial SSU rRNA
Rfam family: Bacterial small subunit ribosomal RNA
Source: RNAcentral